AUGGAUCCUUUUAAACCCUCGAGAGGGUUGAGCCAGGGGAACCCGAUUUCUCCAUACUUAUUUUUACUGGCGGCAGAGGGACUAUCGUGCUUGCUUAAAGCACAUGAUGGCAUCCAGGGUGUGGCAGUGGCAACUUCAGCCCCUCCAGUGAACCACUUGUUAUUUGCUAAUGAUAGCCUCCUUUUCUUUGAGGCCACCGUUGAAGGCGCCACUCGAGUCCAAGAUAUUCUGAGGAAAUAUUGUGAUGUGUCUGGACAAAGGAUCAAUGCUCACAAGUCCUCUGUUUUCUUUAGCAAGGGAAUGAGUGAGAAUACUCACAAUGAAAUAAAAAAUGUACUGCACGUACAGAAUGAAGCGCUUACGGAAAAAUACUUGGGCCUACCUUUUGACGUGGGAAAAUCAAAAGAAGGCCGCUUCAAGUACUUGAAAGACAGAAUUUGGAAACGUGUG
RNAcentral lists this ribosomal RNA (450 nucleotides) under Triticum aestivum (bread wheat). RNAcentral describes it as "partial small subunit ribosomal RNA". Lineage: Eukaryota; Viridiplantae; Streptophyta; Magnoliopsida; Poales; Poaceae. The record is from RNAcentral.